RNAcentral lists this non-coding RNA (781 nucleotides) under Spirama retorta. Lineage: Eukaryota; Metazoa; Arthropoda; Insecta; Lepidoptera; Erebidae. The record is from RNAcentral.
UAAAAAUUUUUAUAGUUUAGUAAGUUUAUUUUAAGUUUAUUUUACAUAUAAAUUUUAGUGUUGAAAUUAAUUUAUUUUAAUAAUAAUUUAAUUAUUUAUUUAGUAAUUAAUAUUAAAAUAUUUAAGAAAUUAAUAUUUAGUAAUAUUUGAAUUAAUAACUAAUUUUGUGCCAGCAGUUGCGGUUAAACAAAGAUUAAAUUAAAUUUUAUUAGUUAAUUAAUAAAUAAUUUUUUUUUAAUAAUAUAAAUUUUAAAUUAUUAGGUGAAAUUUUAAUUUAAUAAAAUAUUAUUUUAAUAUUAUGAUUUAAUAAAUUUUAAUAAAAACUAGGAUUAGAUACCCUAUUAUUAAAAUAAUAAAUAAAAAUACUAAAAUAGUAAUUAAUUAUUUAUUGAAACUUAAAUAAUUUGGCGGUAUUUUAGUUCAUUUAGAGGAAUCUGUUUAAUAAUUGAUAAUCCACGAAUAAAUUUACUUAAUUUAAAAUUUUGUAUAUCGUUGUUAUAAAAAUAUUUUUUAAUAAUAAUAAUAUUUAAAAAUUAUAAGAAAAAUUAAAUCAGAUCAAGAUGCAGAUUAUAAUUAAGAAUAUAAUGGAUUACAAUAAAUUUAUUUAGAUGAAUAUUAAUUUGAAAAAAUUAAUUGAAAUUGGAUUUAAAUGUAAUUUUAUUUAGUUUAAUAAAAUGAUUAAAAAUUGAAAUAUGUACAUAUUGCCCGUCGCUUUCAUAUAAAAAUAAGUUGAAAUAAGUCGUAACAAAGUAGAGGUACUGGAAAGUGUUUCUAGAAAGAC